GCGUCCAUAGCUCAGUGGUAGAGCAUUGACUGUAGAUCAAUAGGUAAUCACGACAUAUAUGAAUUGAGAUGCAUGCA
This 77-nucleotide transfer RNA is filed under the name Oryza brachyantha (malo sina). It matches the Rfam family "tRNA". Rfam says of the family: Transfer RNA (tRNA) molecules are approximately 80 nucleotides in length. Their secondary structure includes four short double-helical elements and three loops (D, anti-codon, and T loops). Lineage: Eukaryota; Viridiplantae; Streptophyta; Magnoliopsida; Poales; Poaceae. The record is from Rfam by way of RNAcentral.